CGCUGCCACCGGAAAGAAGGUAAGUUAGGUAUAUAUAUAUAUAUCAUUUGUAUCAUGUUUUAAAACAAAUUUAUUUGAAAAAUGAAAAAUAAGAAAUGGUUAUAAUUCUACAUAAUCUCUUUGUAAUUCCAUAAUAAUCGCUAAGACAUAAGCAAUUGUAACAAAGUCUAUAAAACAAUUAUGACAUUACAAUAAUUUAUGAUUGAUAAUCAGAAUUUAAUUAUUUAGGUGUAUGA
RNAcentral lists this unclassified non-coding RNA (236 nucleotides) under Hevea brasiliensis (rubber tree). The record is from RNAcentral. Lineage: Eukaryota; Viridiplantae; Streptophyta; Magnoliopsida; Malpighiales; Euphorbiaceae.